ACGCUCGACACCUACUGGAGGCAGCAGUGGGGAAUAUUGCACAAUGGGGGAAACCCUGAUGCAGCGACGCCGCGUGAGCGAAGAAGUAUCUCGGUAUGUAAAGCUCUAUCAGCAGGGAAGAAGAUGACGGUACCUGACUAAGAAGCACCGGCUAAAUACGUGCCAGUAGCCGCGGUAAUCUGAGCGGGCGUGGCAAGGC
RNAcentral lists this ribosomal RNA (199 nucleotides) under uncultured bacterium. RNAcentral's name for it is "partial 16S ribosomal RNA". It matches the Rfam family "Bacterial small subunit ribosomal RNA", at positions 328 to 538 of the family's 1533-position model. The record is from RNAcentral.